Long non-coding RNA from Alligator mississippiensis (American alligator), 880 nucleotides. RefSeq lists it as uncharacterized. The transcript has 3 exons. NCBI's taxonomy places the organism in Eukaryota, Metazoa, Chordata, Crocodylia, Alligatoridae. The record is from RefSeq and is a predicted model, not a curated record.
CACUUCGAUCUAGUGCCUCCAAUUGUGCGGUACUAGAAAAAUGCACAUUCACCUAUUUUCAUAUGUGAUAAUAUAUCAUACGCCUAUUUCAAUCUAUGAAUCUAUUAGCUAAGGAGCACGUUGUUGUGAUGCUUUAAUGCGCGUUCAAAUAGGCUAAUGCACAUUAAAGUGCAGGUGUAGAUGUACCCCCAAGUGUCUAGUGCAGAGCCAGCAGCCUGGCAGUGGGGCAGGGCCCUGGGUUAGGCAGCAGGAGGCCGAGAGGAGGCAGCUGGCCAUGGUCAGGAGCAUACCGACUGGAAGGGGAAGAGCCCACGGGGUAUAAGCCUGGGUCCCUGAGGCAGGGGGUCAAGUGUAGCCCUACAAGCAGCCUGAGGCCAAGAGCCCAAGCCCAGAGAAAGGCAGGCGGUGGCUGAUGAGAAGCUAAGACUGAAAGGCUGGGUCAGAGCAAGUGAGGCCAGGCUACAAGUCUAGAACCAGAGUAACCUGUAGGCUAAGGUUAAUUGGACCAAAGCUCAUACAGAAAGAAAAAAAGAAUUCAUGAGUCCCACUGGAGCUGCUGGGUACUUACAACAGAGGCAUAGAGAAACCAGGUGAGGAGGGUCCAGCUACCUGCACCAGGCAGACUGAAAUGAAGAGGCAGGGAGGAGGCACUGACAAAUCGUGUAUCCCAAACAGCUAAAGGAAGACCUUAGCACUCUUGGUGCUUCUGACUAUGACAGAAUCCAUCUGCAGCAACUACAAUGGGAUACUUGGGCAAGGCUGCCCCGUGCAUAUGUUUACUAAAACCCUAAAGCACUUCCACUGUAAUCCCUGGACCCUAGCUCAGUCUCCCUUAUAGUCUAAGGUACCAAUCUAAUAAUAUAUUCUGUGUAUUUAUACA